This 352-nucleotide unclassified non-coding RNA is filed under the name soil metagenome. RNAcentral describes it as "partial contains 5.8S ribosomal RNA, internal transcribed spacer 2, and large subunit ribosomal RNA". The stretch from base 1 to 120 matches the Rfam family "5.8S ribosomal RNA", at positions 35 to 154 of the family's 154-position model. The record is from RNAcentral.
GAUGAAGAACGUAGCGAAAUGCGAUAAGUAAUGUGAAUUGCAGAAUUCAGUGAAUCAUCGAAUCUUUGAACGCACAUUGCGCCCGCCAGUAUUCUGGCGGGCAUGCCUGUUCGAGCGUCAUUUCAACCCUCAAGCCCUCGGGCUUGGUGUUGGGGGCCGGCGGAGCCCCCCGUGGGCACACGCCGUCCCCCAAAUACAGUGGCGGUCCCGCCGCAGCUUCCAUCGCGUAGUAGCUAACACCUCGCGACUGGAGAGCGGCGCGGCCACGCCGUAAAACACCCAACUCUUCUGAAGUUGACCUCGAAUCAGGUAGGAAUACCCGCUGAACUUAAGCAUAUCAAUAAGCGGAGGA